AAAAUACUCCCACUCCACCACCUUCAAGUAUAUUCCUUCAUGAAAAAGGUUCAAUUCCUUUGGGAUAGUAAAUACCACUAACCUGAAGAAAGGCUCUCUCACCGUGAAGAUGCACAGCUUUGCCCAAAACCCCCAGGCAGUCCUAUUUAGCAGUGGAAGCCAAGAAGAAAAAUACUGAUGGUAUCUUGCUCAAACUAGGAAUCCAGUUUCUACCUGGCACUGCUUUUCUGUCUUGUGAACUGACUUCACUCAAUAUAGAUGGAUCAGGUGAAAAUACUGGAAAGCCAGAUUUUUCAUAUAUCCCUAAGGAGCCCUUCUCCUUGGCUCUCUGCAAAGGAACUCUAAAUCAGUGACAAUUGCUGCACUCAUGAAUACUUUUAUGCAUGUCAAAAGGAGCUCCUUCAACUCCUGACUGUUCACCAAGCAGCUUGAGAACACAUACUCCAACAGCUGCUUUCUUGAAAGGACAAGUAAAAAUAA
Passer domesticus (house sparrow) is the source of this 480-nucleotide long non-coding RNA. RefSeq lists it as uncharacterized. NCBI's taxonomy places the organism in Eukaryota, Metazoa, Chordata, Aves, Passeriformes, Passeridae. The record is from RefSeq and is a predicted model, not a curated record. The transcript has 4 exons.